This 424-nucleotide ribosomal RNA is filed under the name uncultured bacterium. RNAcentral describes it as "partial 16S ribosomal RNA". It matches the Rfam family "Bacterial small subunit ribosomal RNA", at positions 360 to 776 of the family's 1533-position model. The record is from RNAcentral.
AAUAUUGGACAAUGGGCGAAAGCCUGAUCCAGCCAUGCCGCGUGUGUGAAGAAGGUCUUCGGAUUGUAAAGCACUUUAAGUUGGUAGGAAGGGCUGUAGGUUAAUACCUUGCUGUUUUUACGUUACCGACAGAAUAAGCACCGGCUAACUUCGUGCCAGCAGCCGCGGUAAUACGCAGGGUGCAAGCGUUAAUCGGAAUUACUGGGCGUAAAGCGCGCGUUAGUGGUUAAGUAAGAUGGAAGUGAAAUCCCCGGGCUUAACCUGGGAACUGCUUUCAUAACUGCUGAGCUAGAGUACGGUAGAGCGUAAUGGAAUUUCCUGUGUAGCGGUGAAAUGCGUAGAUAUAGGAAGGAACACCAGUGGCGAAGGCGACUACCUGGACUGAUACUGACACUGAGGUGCGAAAGCGUGGGGAGCAAAAAGG